UACGUAUGGUGCAAGCGUUAUCCGGAUUUACUGGGUGUAAAGGGAGCGCAGGCGGUGCGGCAAGUCUGAUGUGAAAGCCCGGGGCUCAACCCCGGUGCUGCAUUGGAAACUGUCGUACUAGAGUGUCGGAGGGGUAAGUGGAAUUCCUAGUGUAGCGGUGAAAUGCGUAGAUAUUAGGAGGAACACCAGUGGCGAAGGCGGCUUACUGGACGAUAACUGACGCUGAGGCUCGAAAGCGUGGGGAGCAAACAGG
Molecule: ribosomal RNA, 253 nt
Filed under: uncultured bacterium
Lineage: Bacteria
Description: partial 16S ribosomal RNA
Rfam family: Bacterial small subunit ribosomal RNA
Source: RNAcentral